This 302-nucleotide small nuclear RNA is filed under the name Propithecus coquereli (Coquerel's sifaka). RNAcentral's name for it is "7SK RNA (ENSPCOG00000010932.1)". It matches the Rfam family "7SK RNA". Rfam says of the family: 7SK was discovered as an abundant small nuclear RNA in the mid-70s but a possible function has only recently been suggested. Lineage: Eukaryota; Metazoa; Chordata; Mammalia; Primates; Indriidae. The record is from Rfam by way of RNAcentral.
GGAUGUUAGGGCCAUCUAGCUGCGACAUCUGUCAUCCCAUUGAUCACCAGGGUAGAUUCAGCCAAUCUGGCUGGCUAGGCAGGCAUACCCUUCCUCCCUCACCGCUCCAUGUGUGUCCCUCCCAAAGAUGCAUGCUCAGUCGAAGAGGACGACCUUCCCGGAUAGAGGAGGACCAUUCUUGAGUCAAUAGUGUACAAGUAGUUGCACUUCCCUGCUAGAACCUCCAAACAAGCUCUCAAAAUAUUGAAUACUUAGGGAUAAAUUUGACAAAAGAUGUGCAAGACCUGUACACUGAGAACUAC